GAUGAACGCUGGCGGCGUGCCUAAUACAUGCAAGUCGAGCGAACAGAUGAGGAGCUUGCUCCUCUGACGUUAGCGGCGGACGGGUGAGUAACACGUGGAUAACCUACCUAUAAGACUGGGAUAACUUCGGGAAACCGGAGCUAAUACCGGAUAACAUAUUGAACCGCAUGGUUCAAUAGUGAAAGACGGUUUUGCUGUCACUUAUAGAUGGAUCCGCGCCGCAUUAGCUAGUUGGUAAGGUAACGGCUUACCAAGGCAACGAUGCGUAGCCGACCUGAGAGGGUGAUCGGCCACACUGGAACUGAGACACGGUCCAGACUCCUACGGGAGGCAGCAGUAGGGAAUCUUCCGCAAUGGGCGAAAGCCUGACGGAGCAACGCCGCGUGAGUGAUGAAGGUCUUCGGAUCGUAAAACUCUGUUAUUAGGGAAGAACAAAUGUGUAGGUAACUAUGCACGUCUUGACGGUACCUAAUCAGAAAGCCACGGCUAACUACGUG
RNAcentral lists this ribosomal RNA (497 nucleotides) under uncultured bacterium. RNAcentral describes it as "partial 16S ribosomal RNA". It matches the Rfam family "Bacterial small subunit ribosomal RNA", at positions 28 to 507 of the family's 1533-position model. The record is from RNAcentral.